CAGUCGCCGCGGUAAUACGAAGGGUGCAAGCGUUAAUCGGAAUUACUGGGCGUAAAGCGUGCGUAGGCGGUUGUGUAAGACAGGUGUGAAAUCCCCGGGCUUAACCAGGGAACUGCGCUUGUGACUGCACAGCUAGAGUAUGGCAGAGGGGGGUGGAAUUCCACGUGUAGCAGUGAAAUGCGUAGAGAUGUGGAGGAACACCGAUGGCGAAGGCAGCCCCCUGGGCCAAUACUGACGCUCAUGCACGAAAGCGUGGGGAGCAAACAGGAUUAGAUACCCCUGUAGUCCCUGUCUCUUAUAU
RNAcentral lists this ribosomal RNA (301 nucleotides) under uncultured bacterium. Its description in RNAcentral is "partial 16S ribosomal RNA". It matches the Rfam family "Bacterial small subunit ribosomal RNA", at positions 509 to 809 of the family's 1533-position model. The record is from RNAcentral.